GACGAACGCUGGCGGCGUGCUUAACACAUGCAAGUCGAACGAAGAGCGACGGAAGCUUGCUUCUCUCAAUCUUAGUGGCGGACGGGUGAGUAACGCGUAAUCAACCUGCCCUUCAGAGGGGGACAACAGUUGGAAACGACUGCUAAUACCGCAUACGAUCUAAUCUCGGCAUCGAGGAUGGAUGAAAGGUGGCCUCUACAUGUAAGCUAUCACUGCAGGAGGGGAUUGCGUCUGAUUAGCUAGUUGGAGGGGUAACGGCCCACCAAGGCGAUGAUCAGUAGCCGGUCUGAGAGGAUGAACGGCCACAUUGGGACUGAGACACGGCCCAGACUCCUAAGGGAGGCAGCAGUGGGGAAUCUUCCGCAAUGGACGAAAGUCUGACGGAGCAACGCCGCGUGAGUGAUGACGGCCGUCGGGUUGGAAAGCUCUGUUAAUCGGGACGAAAGGCCUUCUUGCGAAUAGUGAGAAGGAUUGACGGUACCGGAAUAGAAAGCCACGGCUAACUACGUG
RNAcentral lists this ribosomal RNA (510 nucleotides) under uncultured bacterium. RNAcentral's name for it is "partial 16S ribosomal RNA". It matches the Rfam family "Bacterial small subunit ribosomal RNA", at positions 28 to 507 of the family's 1533-position model. The record is from RNAcentral.